CUUCAGGUAUUGAUUAUUUUAUUGUCUGUCACAUUGUCUAAUUGUAAUUCAUUUCUUACAUCAGGUAUUUCCUACUGUAGUCUCCCCAUUUCACACUGGAGGGCUGCUCAGAAACCUACAACAGAUAACUGAAUGAACUUCAUGGGUGUUUGCAGCCUUCCAAAAGUUUCUGUGAAGUGCCGCUGUACAGAAAAUUGAUUUCUGCCAUUCAGUGGUGUUUAAGGGCUCCUCCAUAACAUUACUGUGAUGCUGCCAACACAUGAAAUACUGAACAGAUAAUCGGAAACUGCAGUUCUACAGCCACUGAGAAUGUAAAACGUCAUAUGACAACAGCCCUUCACAUCUUAAUUAAGGCACUGUGUUCUGGUUAUAAUGUUGUUUCCAUUCAACAAUGGACAGUUACAACAAGCAGCAACAUGAGAGAAUAUACUGCCAACCCAUGGACAAAAUUAUUGCUUCUCUGAAGAAGAGGUGAUGUUAACAUUUAUUGAUCCUGACCUCAUAGGAUCCAAACACCUAUGUUUGCUUUGUAUUUUAUGACAAUUUAACUCUUGUUUCAUGUCUUUGUUUUAUUUUCCCUGAUGUAUGUUUCAUAUUCUUUGCUUAACUAUCACCCAUUUAGCUCAUUUCUAUACUUAGCCUUGGACUAAUCUAAACUGCAGUAUGUAGAAACCAGGUAUGUUUAUACAGUACACACACACACACACACACACAUACACACAUGUAUGUUGUUGUAUGUUUUUGUGUUUUUCUGUGUACAACAAGCUUGUAACUAAGUGCUAAUAACCAAUCUCCCGAGUGGGAUUAAUAAAAUUGUUUUGAAUUAGAA
Molecule: long non-coding RNA, 829 nt
Organism: Thunnus maccoyii (southern bluefin tuna)
Lineage: Eukaryota; Metazoa; Chordata; Actinopteri; Scombriformes; Scombridae
Exons: 2
Source: RefSeq, a predicted model, not a curated record